Molecule: long non-coding RNA, 4513 nt
Organism: Colossoma macropomum (tambaqui)
Lineage: Eukaryota; Metazoa; Chordata; Actinopteri; Characiformes; Serrasalmidae
Exons: 2
Source: RefSeq, a predicted model, not a curated record
AUAUUCAUAACAGACACUAAAUAAAAGUAGUGAUAACCAAAUAUUCAUAAUAGAUACAGAUUAAUUCAUAGCAGAUACUAAAAAAUUCAUAAGAGAUGCUGAAUAAAUCAUAGGGGAUGUUGAACAAAUCAUGGUAAGUACUGAAUAAUUCAAAGUGGAUACUGAAUAAUUUACAGUGGACAAUGAAUAAUUCAUAGUAGUCACUAAAUAUUCAUAGUAGAUACUGAAAAAUUCAUAGUAGUCAGCAAAUAUUCAUAGUAAACACUGUAAAAUUCAUAGUGGGUACUGAAUAAUUCAUAGCUGUCAUUAAAUAUUCAAAGUAGAGACUGAAUAAAUAAUUGCAGAUACUAAAUGAUGUAUAAUGAAGACUGAAAAGUUCAUAGUAAUCACUAAAUAUUAAUAGUAGAUACUAAAUAAUCCACCAUGGAUACUGAAUAUUCAUAGUGGACAGUACACAAUUCAUAGUGGAUGCUGAAUAAUUCAUAGUGCAUACGGAAUAAUUUAUAGUAAUUACAUAAUAAUUUAUAAUAGACACUAAAAUUCAAAAUAAUCAUGAAACGUUCAUAACAGGAACUGAAUAAUUCUCUAUACUCACAUAAUGAUUCAUAGUAAAUACUGAAUUCAUAUGAGAUAUGGAAAAAUUCAUAUUUCAUACUGAAUAAUUUGGAAAAAGUACUGAAUAUUUCAGAGUAAUAACUGGAAAAUACAUCUUAAGAGGGUGUUUUUGAAAUCAUUUUCCAAACUGAAUAAUAUUCAGUGUUCGUUACAACGGACUGUAUUUUUAUGAAAACAGAAGCUGAGACAUUGAAGAUGACGGUGGCUGAUGAAGCGGCGGCUGAAGCCACCAAUGAAAUCAUGAGCAUCUGUCUAGAGGGCUCUGAGGAGCAACCUCUGGAGAAACAUCUGGGUAAGUAAAGAAAAUGACCAGAUAGUUAGAUAAUAAUAACACAUUUAGUCUAUAUUAAAACUUAAUAUGAUCUCUAAUCUGUCUGAAUUCCCUCAAGAUCAUCCAGUGAGCACCAACGAUGAUGCAGCUAAAGCCAUCAGAGAGCUCCUGGAGGUCCUGUUUGAUGAUGCUCUGACGGCGAGUGUCCAGCCUCUGGGUGAGUAACGGAAAUAAACAUAUUACAAUGAGAAUGAAAGAGCUGGAAAACUGACCAUAUUUAUUUGUAUUAAAGCAGAAAAUGAGAUGAUGAUGAUGGCUGACGAAGCGGAGGCUGAAGCCAUCAAAGCACUCAUGGACAUCAACCUUGACGAGACUGAGGAGGAAACACUGGAGAAACAUCUGGGUAAGUAAAGGAAAUGAACAGAUAGUGAGAUGAUAGUAACAUAUUUAGUGUAUAUAAAAGCAGGAAUUCAGCUAAUAUGAGAUCUAAUCUGAAUUCAUUCAAGAUCAUCUAGUGAGCACCAAUGAUGAUGCUGUUAAAGCCAUCAGAGAGCUCCUGGAGAUCCUAUUUGAUGAUGCGCUAUCAGCGAGUGUCCAGCCUCUGGGUGAGUAAAAGACAUAAAAAAUAUUAAUGAAAAAUGAAUAAACUGGAAAACUGACUGUAUUUUUAUGAAAGCAGAAAAUGAGACAGUGAUGACGAUGGAGGAUGAUGUAGCUCAGGCAGAAGCCACAGAUGAGCCCAUCAACCUGGACCACGCUGAGCCAUACGAUGACCGAUCUUUUGGUGAGUAAAAGAAAUGGUCAGUGGAAAUAUUUCAGGAAUGAAAUCAGCUGGAAAACUGAUCAAAUUUAUUGAUGUGAAUGCAGAGAAUCAGAUGACGAGGGAUUGGAUGAUUUUGGCAACUAAAUCCCUUAAAGCCCUCAUAGGCAUCCCCCUGGAGACCAUUGAGGAGGAACCUGAGGAGGAACCUGAGGAGAAACAGCUGGGUAAGUAAAGACAUGAACUAAUGUCAUAAAGAAAAUACAUUUAAUUAAUGUUAAAGUAGGAAUUCUAAUUAGUUUUAAUUCAUUAAUUUAAGAUAAUCUGGUGAGCAACACUGAACACAAAACAGGAACCAGUGAGCUCCAGGAGAUCCAGCUGGAGGAAGACGUUCCAGCGAGUGUCCAGCCUCUGGGUGAGUAAAGGACAUAAAAAAUAAUAAUGAAAAAUUAAUAAACUGGAAAACUGACUGUAUUUUUAUGAAAGCAGAAAAAGAGACAGUGAUGACGAUGGAGGAUGAUGUAGCUCAGGCAGAAGCCAUAGAUGAGCCCAUCAACUUGGACCACGCUGAGCCAUGCGAUGACCGAUCUUUUGGUAAGUAAUGGAAAUGGUCAGUGGAAAUAUUUCAGGAAUGAAAUCAGCUGGAAAACUGAUCAAAUUUAUUGAUGAAUGCAGAGAAUCAGAUGACGAGGGAUUGGAUGAUUUUGGCAACUAAAUCCCUCAAAGCCCUCAUAGGCAUCCCCCUGGAGACCAUUGAGGAGGAACCUGAGGAGGAACCUCUGGGUGAGUAAAUGAAAUAAAUCUCAGACUCUGGAGUCGGAACACAACGGAACAUCUGUUCUCACCAAAUAUAAUGGCAUGGAUGUACGGUUCUAGGAAAAGGCCUCAAUUUGUAUAGGACUGUUACAUGAUAUGGAGAUGCUCUGAUCAGUAAAAAGGCUCUUUACACUGAAGCCACCAAAGACACAGUAACUGUCUACCUGGAUGAGACUGAAACUACGGAGAACCUUCUGAGUGAGUGACAGAAAGAACUGUAAAACAUUCUGAUGAUGACUAGAACAGUUCUGGUGUGGCUCUGGUUUUGAUGGAUACUUGAUAGGGUACUUUAGGUGGUUAUGAGGUGGUGGCUAAUUUGUUUCUAGGUAGUUUUAUGAUAUUGUAGCAUGUUCUAGAAAUGUUCUGCAUGUUUUUUCUGGGUUAUUGUUCUCCUACAGUUAUUCUCUGAGUUUUUUCUGACAAAGACUCUUAAUGUGAAGGUGGGGCUGGUUCACCUUUGGGGGUUUGUGUGUCAGAUCAGACAGGAACUGGGUGUCAGUCGGAGUUGAGUGCUGAUAGAGUGCAGAAGUGAGCUGAAUGUAGAGCUGUUAGCUAACGGCUUGUGCAUCAGCCGUGUGUCCUUCAAUAGCAUUAAACAUUACAGUAUUUUAAACGGUUGCUAUGGUGUUGCUAUGGGGUUGCUAAAGUAUCCAAAAUAGUUCAUAGGAUGUUACUUUUUGGUUUUCGUGUUUUGGUCAUUGCUAUGGAGUGGCUAGGUCGUUGCUAUGUUAUCCCAGAUGGUUGCCAGACUGCUGUUCAUUGGUUAAUGUUAUUCACAAUAAAUGUAAAUAUAACAUUUAGAUAAACUGAUUUGAAAUAUGUUGGAACUUAAAUGCUGGCUACUAUUUCUGUGCUCCAGGACAGACUAUCAGAGAAAGGCUUGGUUACUGAUUUAUCUAAUUUUGUUCUCUAGCUGAAAUGGAUGUAAAGAACAGCGACCCUCCUGAGGAAGUAGCUGAGACCAAAAAGAGAAAAACCAGGAGAGGAACAAGAGGAAAAGGACGGAAAAUCAACUAUAAUAAAGACCAACGUCCACCAAAUGACAAACAAGAUGAAGCCAAGAAUGAGAGCAGAGAAUCUGCACAUAGAGGAGGAGCAGAGGGGCUCAAAAGAGAACAGGUACAGGUACAGCUUUUAGUCCUGGUCAUGGUCCCUAAACUGUUAUUCUUUUAGUCUUAGUUAUGGUCCCUAAUCUGCGGAUCAUGUAGAUCUUGUCAUGGUCACUACACUGUUGAUUUUUUAGUCCUAGUCUUAGUCCCAAAACUGUGGAUAUUUUAGUCCUAGUCAUGCUCCCUAAACUAUGGUUAUUUUAGUUCUAGUAAUGGUUCCAAAACUAUGGAUCUUUUAGUCCGAGUCUUGGUCCCUAAUCUGUGGAUCUUCUAGUCCUAGUGAUUAAUCUGUGGAUCUUUUAGUCCUAGUCAUGGUCACUAAACUAUUAAGCAUGUUUCUUUUUAUAGAGAACCCAACAAGUCUUUGUUCCGAGAGGUUCUUCUGGACAGAACUGCAGUGAUGAACGCAGGCAGGUUGUCCAUCCCAGACGGGAGCAGGAAGAGCGGGAUAGCGGAUAUAAUGCAGUCCCGUACACCUUGACCUUCUGGAGGACAGGAUGGAGAGAGGGAAGAACGACAGAAGGUUCUAGAGUGGAGUCCACGACAGAGAGACACGAGGAGACAAGAGAACAUCCUCAUUGGAAAACAGAACAGGUACAGGUACAGCUUUUAGUCCUAGUCUAUGGUCCCUAAUCUGUGGAUCUUUUAGUCCUAGUCUUGGUCCCUAAUCUGUGGAUCUUUUAGUCCUAUUCAUGGUCCCUAAACUGAGGUUCUUCUGGACAGAACUGCAGUGAUGAAUGCAGGCAGGUGGUCAGUCCCAGACGGGGGCAGGAAGAGUUGGAUAGUGGAUAUAAUGCCCUCCCAUACACCUUGAUAGUCUGGGGGACAAGAUGGAGAGAAUGGGGUCCAUUCCACAAAAGAGAGAGAGGAACGUGAGUUCACCCUAAACAGCCACACACACACACACACACACACACACACACACACACACACACACACACA